Molecule: transfer RNA, 78 nt
Filed under: Camelus bactrianus (Bactrian camel)
Lineage: Eukaryota; Metazoa; Chordata; Mammalia; Artiodactyla; Camelidae
Also listed under: 2 other names
Rfam family: tRNA
About the family: Transfer RNA (tRNA) molecules are approximately 80 nucleotides in length. Their secondary structure includes four short double-helical elements and three loops (D, anti-codon, and T loops).
Source: Rfam by way of RNAcentral
GAGGGUAUAGCUCAGGUGGUAGAGUGUGUGCUUAGCAUAUGAAAGCAUAUGUCUUGGGUUCAAUCCCCUGUACCCCCC